This 81-nucleotide small RNA is filed under the name Klebsiella pneumoniae. RNAcentral's name for it is "partial RtT sRNA". It matches the Rfam family "RtT RNA", at positions 50 to 130 of the family's 130-position model. From Rfam's summary of the family: This family represents a bacterial cis-regulatory element known as RtT RNA. The exact function of RtT is unknown although it is thought that it may be involved in changing the cellular response in relation to amino acid starvation. Lineage: Bacteria; Pseudomonadati; Pseudomonadota; Gammaproteobacteria; Enterobacterales; Enterobacteriaceae. RNAcentral also lists the same sequence under 1 other name. The record is from RNAcentral.
GAGCGAAGCGAGAGAACGUUGCGUCAGCAACGGCCCGCAGGGCGAGCCACGAAGUGGUGAGUCAUCCUCUAUCACCGACCA